GAAAAAUGUGGCUGGUUUCCUCUCUAAGACUGUAUGUCAAAAUCACCAAAUGUUUGACAUCCAAUAGCCGAUGAUAAAUCAAUGAGCUCUUGUGAUGUCUUUAAAUUAAACAAACUUUUUAACUGAAAAUGGGGUUGAUAUGAAAGAACAUUUUAACUCAAUAGUGAGUUGUAUUAUUUUUACAAAAUGUUAUUGGGCAGGGGAGGCGUAGUCGGGUUAAAAAAUGACCAGAUUUUCCAUUAUGCAAUUGGUUAAUGGCCCUAAGUAGGUACAUGUAGGUAGUUAGGUAGGUACAUGUAGGUAAUUAGGUAGGUACAUAUAGACAUGUUUGUAUACAUGUGUAGAACAACUAAUUUAUUAUAUAACAGACUUUUGUUUUUGAGAAGCGCGAUCUUAUCAGUAUAUUAAGUCCACUGGGAGUCUGGACGUAUGUUCCUUUGUAUGUUAAAACAACAAUAUACAUGUAAGGUUACGAAAUAAACACUGGACGUAUGUUCCUUUGUAUGUUAAAUCAACAAUAUACAUGUAAGGUAGCGAAAUAAACACUGGACGUAUGUUCCUUUGUAUGUUAAAACAACAAUAUACAUGUAAGGUAGCGAAAUAAACACUGGACGUAUGUUCCUUUGUAUGUUAAAACAACAAUAUACAUGUACGGUAGCGAAAUAAACACUGGGUGUAUGUUCCUUUGUAUGUUAAAACAACAAUAUACAUGUAAGGUAGCGAAAUAAACACUGGGUGUAUGUUCCUUUGUAUGUUAAAACAACAAUAUACAUGUAAGGUAGCGAAAUAAACACUGGGCGUAUGUUCCUUUGUAUGUUAAAACAACAAUAUACAUGUACGGUAGCGAAAUAAACACUGGGUGUAUGUUCCUUUGUAUGUUAAAACAACAAUACACAUGUAAGGUAGCGAAAUAAACACUGGGUGUAUGUUCCUUUGUAUGUUAAAACAACAAUAUACAUGUAAGGUAGCGAAAUAAACACUGGGUGUAUGUUCCUUUGUAUGUUAAAACAACAAUAUACAUGUAAGGUAGCGAAAUAAACACUGGGCGUAUGUUCCUUUGUAUGUUAAAACAACAAUAUACAUGUACGGUAGCGAAAUAAACACUGGACGUAUGUUCCUUUGUAUGUUAAAACAACAAUAUACAUGUAAGGUAGCGAAAUAAACACUGGGUGUAUGUUCCUUUGUAUGUUAAAACAACAAUAUACAUGUACGGUAGCGAAAUAAACACUGGGUGUAUGUUCCUUUGUAUGUUAAAACAACAAUAUACAUGUACGGUAGCGAAAUAAACACUGGGCGUAUGUUCCUUUGUAUGUUAAAACAACAAUAUACAUGUACGGUAGCGAAAUAAACACUGGACGUAUGUUCCUUUGUAUGUUAAAACAACAAUAUACAUGUACGGUAGCGAAAUAAACACUGGACGUAUGUUCCUUUGUAUGUUAAAACAACAAUAUACAUGUACGGUAGCGAAAUAAACACUGGGUGUAUGUUCCUUUGUAUGUUAAAACAACAAUAUACAUGUAAGGUAGCGAAAUAAACACUGGGUGUAUGUUCCUUUGUAUGUUAAAACAACAAUAUACAUGUAAGGUAGCGAAAUAAACACUGGGUGUAUGUUCCUUUGUAUGUUAAAACAACAAUAUACAUGUACGGUAGCGAAAUAAACACUGGGUGUAUGUUCCUUUGUAUGUUAAAACAACAAUAUACAUGUACGGUAGCGAAAUAAACACUGGGUGUAUGUUCCUUUGUAUGUUAAAACAACAAUAUACAUGUAAGGUAGCAAAAUAAACACUGGGUGUAUGUUCCUUUGUAUGUUAAAACAACAAUAUACAUGUACGGUAGCGAAAUAAACACUGGGUGUAUGUUCCUUUGUAUGUUAAAACAACAAUAUACAUGUACGGUAGCGAAAUAAACACUGGGUGUAUGUUCCUUUGUAUGUUAAAACAACAAUAUACAUGUACGGUAGCGAAAUAAACACUGGACGUAUGUUCCUUUGUAUGUUAAAACAACAAUAUACAUGUAAGGUAGCGAAAUAAACACUGGACGUAUGUUCCUUUGUAUGUUAAAACAACAAUAUACAUGUAAGGUAGCGAAAUAAACACUGGGUGUAUGUUCCUUUGUAUGUUAAAACAACAAUAUACAUGUACGGUAGCGAAAUAAACACUGGACGUAUGUUCCUUUGUAUGUUAAAUCAACAAUAUACAUGUAAGGUAGCGAAAUAAACACUGGACGUAUGUUCCUUUGUAUGUUAAAACAACAAUAUACAUGUACGGUAGCGAAAUAAACACUGGGUGUAUGUUCCUUUGUAUGUUAAAACAACAAUAUACAUGUAAGGUAGCGAAAUAAACACUGGACGUAUGUUCCUUUGUAUGUUAAAACAACAAUAUACAUGUAAGGUUACGAAAUAAACACUGGGUGUAUGUUCCUUUGUAUGUUAAAACAACAAUAUACAUGUAAGGUAGCGAAAUAAACACUGGACGUAUGUUCCUUUGUAUGUUAAAACAACAAUAUACAUGUAAGGUUACGAAAUAAACACUGGACGUAUGUUCCUUUGUAUGUUAAAUCAACAAUAUACAUGUAAGGUAGCGAAAUAAACACUGGACGUAUGUUCCUUUGUAUGUUAAAACAACAAUACACAUGUAAGGUAGCGAAAUAAACACUGGGUGUAUGUUCCUUUGUAUGUUAAAACAACAAUAUACAUGUAAGGUAGCGAAAUAAACACUGGGUGUAUGUUCCUUUGUAUGUUAAAACAACAAUAUACAUGUAAGGUAGCGAAAUAAACACUGGACGUAUGUUCCUUUGUAUGUUAAAACAACAAUAUACAUGUAAGGUAGCGAAAUAAACACUGGACGUAUGUUCCUUUGUAUGUUAAAUCAACAAUACACAUGUAUGGUAGCGAAAUAAACACUGGAUGUAUGUUCCUUUGUAUGUUAAAUCAACAAUACACAUGUAUGGUAGCGAAAUAAACACUGGAUGUAUG
RNAcentral lists this long non-coding RNA (2974 nucleotides) under Gigantopelta aegis. RNAcentral describes it as "uncharacterized LOC121385682". The record is from RNAcentral. Lineage: Eukaryota; Metazoa; Mollusca; Gastropoda; Neomphalida; Peltospiridae.